RNAcentral lists this long non-coding RNA (215 nucleotides) under Solanum tuberosum (potato). Its description in RNAcentral is "long non-coding RNA (STUB_LNC005985)". Lineage: Eukaryota; Viridiplantae; Streptophyta; Magnoliopsida; Solanales; Solanaceae. The record is from RNAcentral.
GACUUCGACUCGCCCUCAGCUCUAGCCAGUCUCCAGCACAUCAGAUUUCAGGGUGAGCUAUUCCUUCUAGCUCGUGCUGGAUUCUCUCAGUUAUGGCGUGAUGUCCUUGAAUUUCGGACAUGGACCAUCGUAUUUACUUAUUUGGGGUCUCUAAUACUUUUUAGACUUGAUAUGUUAAGAACAGAUGUCCUUGUUGUGAUGACUUUCAGAUUUUG